This 434-nucleotide ribosomal RNA is filed under the name uncultured bacterium. Its description in RNAcentral is "bacterial SSU rRNA". It matches the Rfam family "Bacterial small subunit ribosomal RNA", at positions 957 to 1392 of the family's 1533-position model. The record is from RNAcentral.
UAACGCGAAGAACCUUACCAGGGCUUGACAUCCUGCGAACCUCUAAGAAAUUAGAGGGUGCCUUCGGGAACGCAGUGACAGGUGGUGCAUGGCUGUCGUCAGCUCGUGUCGUGAGAUGUUGGGUUAAGUCCCGCAACGAGCGCAACCCACGUUUUUAGUUGCCAGCAUUUAGUUGGGCACUCUAGAAAGACCGCCGGUGAUAAACCGGAGGAAGGUGUGGAUGACGUCAAGUCAUCAUGCCCCUUACGUCCUGGGCUACACACGUACUACAAUGCUACGGACAAAGGGCAGCAAACUCGCGAGAGCUAGCAAAUCCAAUAAACCGUGGCUCAGUUCAGAUCGUAGGCUGCAACUCGCCUACGUGAAGUAGGGAUCGCUAGUAAUCGCAGGUCAGCAUACUGCGGUGAAUACGUUCCCGGGUCUUGUACACACCG